GUCACACAAAAAGAAGUUAAUGCGCCUGACUCAUCUGGAGACCAACCGCAACCUGAUACUGAAACUGGACAAGAACCACGAAAGACAACUCCCGGUGACUCCAACUGAUGAACACAGGAAAGUGCUAAACCAGUCUGCAGUGAACUGCAGCCAGCAACCCGCCGGGAGAAUCGUGCGCACCAGGAACGUGACGACGGCUCGCCGUUAGAAAAUCGGUUACCGCAGUUUUAUUAUUGCAGUGUAUAACGCAGGAAAGCCACUGUGAACAUUUAAAAGACCCAAGACUGAAAAUAUUUGGUAAAAUGCGGUCAUUUCUGGUUUAAAACAAAACAAUUUGGCAAAUUAGGAAAAGAACAAAUUGCCUUUAACUUAAAAAAAAAACUAGCAGAAAUCUGCAGAAAACAUGAAACAUACUAUGUAAUUUCUGGAAAGAAAGUACCAUUUAGGCUAUCCUGUGUUGUACUGGAUUUUUAGGAAAAGCCAAAAUUGUACAGAUUCUUACCUACAAAACCAGGAUUACCUGUCAGAUUAUCAGAGGGUUCUGCGAAUGAUCAGCUAUGAGAUCAACAACCAAAAGCCACAGUAUCCCAGGAUACAACAACAAAAACAGCUCGGGGAAACCCAAGAAAAUUGCAACACUUCACCUGAGGAACACAGGGGAGACGGAGUUCAUAAAGAACCACGUGAAUGUUAGCCUCAAGACCGGACGAGCAUCACCUCCGGACAGCUAAUCUCAAAACACACAAUCCCAAACAAACGGCAGGAAUCUGGGCCGCGGGACGGCACUCUACCAGAGCUCGACCCUGGAGUCUGCGGUUCUUCGCGACGGGUGUAAAAUGUGAAACAGCAGCCGCCCUGCACAGACCCCGCCGCCCCAGCGCCCUCCGGCCCCUUCUCGGAAACCCCGCCCCGCAGUCCGGGCAGAAGUCCCGCCCUCGGAAGAGCCCUUUGCUCCCGUCUGCCUCUGCGCCGUCAAUAGGCGUUUCCGGUCGGUGGCGGACGCGAGCGCGCAGAGCAAACGUCAGAGUCGUGUGCGCGCCUGCGGCUCUCGCAGCCUGGCUCUCUCGGCGCCCGCGAGCUGAGGCUGCGCAGCCCGGCCGUGAAGGUUGGUUUCUUCGAGUUUCCAGUUUAUAAGAAACAGCUGUGAUCCAGUCACCCUGCAUUUUCCCAGCUGCUGUAAAAGGGAAUUUGCAGCAUUCCCUACAGGAGAUGUCCCAUCUCUAAGCAUCUCACUGCUGCUAAGGAGGUGAGACACAUCCAUCCUAGCUAAACAAUAUGCAUGCAAUAAAUAACCUUGCAAUCAUUGGUCUCUAACA
RNAcentral lists this long non-coding RNA (1316 nucleotides) under Oryctolagus cuniculus (rabbit). RNAcentral's name for it is "lncRNA (ENSOCUG00000039182.1)". Lineage: Eukaryota; Metazoa; Chordata; Mammalia; Lagomorpha; Leporidae. The record is from RNAcentral.